RNAcentral lists this ribosomal RNA (234 nucleotides) under Triticum aestivum (bread wheat). Its description in RNAcentral is "partial small subunit ribosomal RNA". Lineage: Eukaryota; Viridiplantae; Streptophyta; Magnoliopsida; Poales; Poaceae. The record is from RNAcentral.
AUGUCAGCACUGCGCUUUGGCAUCGGUAUUCUCACCAACAACGUGCAACCAAGGAAGGCUUUGGCCUCUUUGCUUCACCUAGUUGGUUGGGAGAUCUGGAAGGAAAGGAAUGGAUGCGUCUUUAGGGCCAAGGCAAGACCGGUGACGGUGAUCAUGUGCAACAUUAAGGAUGAAGUGUCUAUAUGGGCCCUAGCUGGGGUUAGGCACUUGAGUAAUGUAAUGAUGCGAGAGUAG